RNAcentral lists this ribosomal RNA (207 nucleotides) under uncultured bacterium. Its description in RNAcentral is "partial 16S ribosomal RNA". It matches the Rfam family "Bacterial small subunit ribosomal RNA", at positions 568 to 774 of the family's 1533-position model. The record is from RNAcentral.
CGUGUAGGCGGCCAGGUAGGUCGGUUGUGAAAACUCGAGGCUCAACCUCGAGAUGUCGACCGAAACCAUCUGGCUAGAGUCCGGAAGAGGAGAAUGGAAUUCCCGGUGUAGCGGUGAAAUGCGCAGAUAUCGGGAAGAACACCCGUGGCGAAGGCGGUUCUCUGGGACGGUACUGACGCUGAGACGCGAAAGCGUGGGGAGCGAACA